RNAcentral lists this long non-coding RNA (269 nucleotides) under Setaria viridis. RNAcentral describes it as "long non-coding RNA (SVIR_LNC000352)". Lineage: Eukaryota; Viridiplantae; Streptophyta; Magnoliopsida; Poales; Poaceae. The record is from RNAcentral.
UGGGAGAUGACGGGGAGGAGCAGAACGGCUUGCAGAUGACGGGCCUGAAUCUCAUGGACAAGAAGAUGACCGUCCGGGGAGCUAGGAUUGCCUCUUCAGGUUAUACAAACAUGAAUGGAUGCUAUUUUUAGUAGAUGCUGUUCAUGCUAAUAUGAAUGGAUGUUGGACCAUAUUGUUUGUGGCAUAGGCAGUAAAGGUUGUCAAUCUGAUAGAUAUUUGGCUAUAUUGUAUUGUUGAUCUGUUAGAUGUUUGUCUAUAUUGUAUUAUCU